UACGUAGGGGGCAAGCGUUGUCCGGAUUUAUUGGGCGUAAAGAGCGUGUAGGCGGCCAGGUAGGUCCGUUGUGAAAACUCGAGGCUCAACCUCGAGACGUCGAUGGAAACCAUCUGGCUAGAGUCCGGAAGAGGAGAGUGGAAUUCCCGGUGUAGCGGUGAAAUGCGCAGAUAUCAGGAAGAACACCCGUGGCGAAGGCGGCUCUCUGGGACGGUACUGACGCUGAGACGCGAAAGCGUGGGGAGCGAACAGG
Molecule: ribosomal RNA, 253 nt
Filed under: uncultured bacterium
Lineage: Bacteria
Description: partial 16S ribosomal RNA
Rfam family: Bacterial small subunit ribosomal RNA
Source: RNAcentral